RNAcentral lists this ribosomal RNA (499 nucleotides) under uncultured bacterium. RNAcentral describes it as "bacterial SSU rRNA". It matches the Rfam family "Bacterial small subunit ribosomal RNA", at positions 899 to 1397 of the family's 1533-position model. The record is from RNAcentral.
ACUCAAAGGAAUAGACGGGGACCCGCACAAGCAGCGGAGCAUGUCGUUUAAUUCGAAGCAACGCGAAAAACCUUACCAAGGCUUGACAUCGGAUGCAUACCGUGGAAACACGGGAAGUAGUAGUAAUACACAUCUAGACAGAUGGUGCAUGGUUGUCGUCAGCUCGUGUCGUGAGAUGUUGGGUUAAGUCCCGCAACGAGCGCAACCCUUACUGGAAGUUACUAACAUUUAGUUGAGAACUCUUUCAGGACUGCCGUGGAUAACACGGAGGAAGGUGGGGAUGACGUCAAAUCAUCAUGCCUCUUACGCCUUGGGCUACAGACGUGCUACAAUGGCUCUUACAAAGCGUCGCCAACCCGCAAGGGGGAGCUAAUCGCAAAAAAGGAGCCUCAGUUCAGAUUGUGGGCUGCAACCCGCCCACAUGAAGUUGGAGUUGCUAGUAAUCCCGAAUCAGCAUGUCGGGGUGAAUGCGUUCCCGGGUCUUGUACACACCGCCCGU